UAGGGAAUCUUCGGCAAUGGGGGCAACCCUGACCGAGCAACGCCGCGUGAGUGAAGAAGGUUUUCGGAUCGUAAAGCUCUGUUGUAAGUCAAGAACGGGUGUGAGAGUGGAAAGUUCACACUGUGACGGUAGCUUACCAGAAAGGGACGGCUAACUACGUGCCAGCAGCCGCGGUAAUACGUAGGUCCCGAGCGUUGUCCGGAUUUAUUGGGCGUAAAGCGAGCGCAGGCGGUUUGAUAAGUCUGAAGUUAAAGGCUGUGGCUCAACCAUAGUUCGCUUUGGAAACUGUCAAACUUGAGUGCAGAAGGGGAGAGUGGAAUUCCAUGUGUAGCGGUGAAAUGCGUAGAUAUAUGGAGGAACACCGGUGGCGAAAGCGGCUCUCUGGUCUGUAACUGACGCUGAGGCUCGAAAGCGUGGGGAGCGAACAGGAUUAGGAUACCCUGGUAGUCCACGCCGUAAACGAUGAGCGCUAGGUGUUGGAUCCUUUCCGGGAUUCAGUGCCGCAGCUAACGCAUUAAGCACUCCGCCUGGGGAGUACGACCGCAAGGUUGAAACGUCUAAAGUGAAUU
Molecule: ribosomal RNA, 569 nt
Filed under: uncultured bacterium
Lineage: Bacteria
Description: partial 16S ribosomal RNA
Rfam family: Bacterial small subunit ribosomal RNA
Source: RNAcentral